ACCCUUUGAAAUGGGGAAAAAAAACUCCUUGGUGGUGGUGUUCUUAUAUCAGUCAUUGGCAGAGUAGUUGGCAGUCCUUUGCUUCUCCUAGCUUGAUGCCUGACUUUGUGGCCAAAGCUGUUUUAUGCCUAUGACACAUAA
Molecule: small nucleolar RNA, 141 nt
Organism: Grammomys surdaster
Lineage: Eukaryota; Metazoa; Chordata; Mammalia; Rodentia; Muridae
Product: small nucleolar RNA SNORA48
Exons: 1
Source: RefSeq, a predicted model, not a curated record